UGGGGAAUAUUGCGCAAUGGGCGAAAGCCUGACGCAGCGACGCCGCGUGAGGGAUGAAGGUUUUCGGAUCGUAAACCUCUGUCAGAAGGGAAGAAACCGCACUGUGCUAAUCAGCAGUGCCUUGACGGUACCUUCAAAGGAAGCACCGGCUAACUCCGUGCCAGCAGCCGCGGUAAUACGGAGGGUGCAAGCGUUAAUCGGAAUUACUGGGCGUAAAGCGCACGUAGGCUGCUUUGUAAGUCAGGGGUGAAAUCCCACGGGUCAACCGUGGAACUGCCUUUGAAACUGCUUAGCUUGAAUCAGGGAAGGGGUGGCGGAAUUCCAGGGGUAGGAGUGAAAUCCGUAGAUAUCUGGAGGAACAGCAGUGGGGAAGGCGGCCGCCUGGACCGGUAUUGACGCUGGGGUGCUAAAGCGUGGGGAGCAAACAGG
Molecule: ribosomal RNA, 429 nt
Filed under: Fusobacteriota bacterium
Lineage: Bacteria; Fusobacteriati; Fusobacteriota
Description: Fusobacteria bacterium partial 16S ribosomal RNA
Rfam family: Bacterial small subunit ribosomal RNA
Source: RNAcentral